AAGGAGACUUCAGGGCCCAGAGCGUUCCUGUCACCAAAGUCUCCCCUGGCUUCUGCAGAACUUUGGUCAUCUAGGUGAGGGACCACAGGCCAGCCAGCUGUUCCCUCCAGACGUCUCCGGAAACCUCUGAGUCCCUUGGAAGGUAACAAACUCAGACCAAGGAUUUGGUCUUUGCCUGUUGGAUGGCCAGGAAAUAACAGCUUUGAAGAGGCUGCUCAAGGUGGUGAGAGAAAGACCUGUAGCCCCUUCCCUGACCCCAAAUCACCAUUUUUUGGCUAUUACAAGAUAAUUAAUGAGUGACUUAUUUGUAUGCUG
This 315-nucleotide long non-coding RNA is filed under the name Rhinopithecus bieti (black snub-nosed monkey). RNAcentral's name for it is "lncRNA (ENSRBIG00000046771.1)". Lineage: Eukaryota; Metazoa; Chordata; Mammalia; Primates; Cercopithecidae. The record is from RNAcentral.